RNAcentral lists this ribosomal RNA (129 nucleotides) under Cebus imitator (Panamanian white-faced capuchin). The record is from RNAcentral. Lineage: Eukaryota; Metazoa; Chordata; Mammalia; Primates; Cebidae.
GUCUACGGCCAUACCACCCUGAACGCGCCCGAUCUCAUCUGAUCUCGGAAGCUAAGCAGGGUCGGGCCUGGUUAGUACUUGGAUGGAAAAAACUGUCUUCCAGAAAAGCAGUCCCUGGUGUCAAAAAGC